UACGGGGGGGGCAAGCGUUGUUCGGAAUUACUGGGCGUAAAGGGCUCGUAGGUGGCCAACUAAGUCAGACGUGAAAUCCCUCGGCUUAACCGGGGAACUGCGUCUGAUACUGGAUGGCUGGAGUUUGGGAGAGGGAUGCGGAAUUCCAGGUGUAGCGGUGAAAUGCGUAGAUAUCUGGAGGAAUACCGGUGGCGAAGGCGGCAUCCUGGACCGACAUUGACGCUGAGGAGCGAAAGCCAGGGGAGCAAACGGG
This 253-nucleotide ribosomal RNA is filed under the name uncultured bacterium. Its description in RNAcentral is "partial 16S ribosomal RNA". It matches the Rfam family "Bacterial small subunit ribosomal RNA", at positions 524 to 776 of the family's 1533-position model. The record is from RNAcentral.